RNAcentral lists this ribosomal RNA (468 nucleotides) under uncultured bacterium. RNAcentral describes it as "partial 16S ribosomal RNA". It matches the Rfam family "Bacterial small subunit ribosomal RNA", at positions 28 to 507 of the family's 1533-position model. The record is from RNAcentral.
GACGAACGCUGGCGGCGUGCUUAACACAUGCAAGUCGAACGGAAAGGCCCUGCUUUUGUUGGGUGCUCGAGUGGCGAACGGGUGAGUAACACGUGAGUAACCUGCCCUUGACUUUGGGAUAACUUCAGGAAACUGGGGCUAAUACCGGAUAGGAUCUCCUGCUGCAUGGUGGGGGUUGGAAAGUUUCGGCUGUUGGGGAUGGACUCGCGGCUUAUCAGCUUGUUGGUGGGGUAGUGGCUUACCAAGGCUUUGACGGGUAGCCGGCCUGAGAGGGUGACCGGCAACAUUGGGACUGCGAUACGGCCCAGCCUCCUACGGGAGGCAGCAGUGGGGAAUAUUGCACAAUGGGCGGAAGGCUGAUGCAGCAACGCCGCGUGCGGGAUGACGCCCUUUGGGUUGUAAACCGCUUUCGCCUGUGACGAAGCGGGAGUGACGGUAAUGGGUAAAGAAGCACCGGCUAACUACGUG